CGGAACGUGGCCAAGCUUGGGGAAGGCGCCCGCUUCGGAUGCGGGAGAUGCGCAGGUUCGAAUCCUGCCGUUCCGA
RNAcentral lists this transfer RNA (76 nucleotides) under Actinomadura barringtoniae. It matches the Rfam family "tRNA". Rfam says of the family: Transfer RNA (tRNA) molecules are approximately 80 nucleotides in length. Their secondary structure includes four short double-helical elements and three loops (D, anti-codon, and T loops). The record is from Rfam by way of RNAcentral. Lineage: Bacteria; Bacillati; Actinomycetota; Actinomycetes; Streptosporangiales; Thermomonosporaceae.